Acanthosepion pharaonis is the source of this 109-nucleotide non-coding RNA. The record is from the annotation of a GenBank genome assembly. NCBI's taxonomy places the organism in Eukaryota, Metazoa, Mollusca, Cephalopoda, Sepiida, Sepiidae.
UGACGGCCACAUCACGUUGAAGCACCGGUUCCCAUACGAUCGCCGAAGUUAAGCAGCGUCGAGUCUGGUCAUUACCUAGAUGGGUGACCGCUUGGGAAGAGCGGGUACU